AUGGUAUGGAUGUCCUCGACAUAUUUGUCUUUCCCUCAAACACACUCUCAAGAAAGAGAGACACUAAGCUUCACUUUCACAAGACUUACACAUGCAUGUGUUAGACGACAUGUUUUCCCAUGCACAAUGGCACAUCGAUCAUCUACUUGUGAGCAUGAGAGGCAUCAGGAAACUGGAAGUAGCACAGUGAAUGGCGAUAGAUACAAAGUUCCCUUGAUAUGGACGCGGUAUUGUCAACAGUUGAUGUUCCUGAGACUCAACCAGUUAAGGAGUUUAAUAAGCCAUGCAAAAGCUGUAGCUGCUACUGUCGUGCACUGA
Molecule: ribosomal RNA, 318 nt
Filed under: Triticum aestivum (bread wheat)
Lineage: Eukaryota; Viridiplantae; Streptophyta; Magnoliopsida; Poales; Poaceae
Description: partial small subunit ribosomal RNA
Source: RNAcentral